GCGCACGGGUGAGUAACACGUGGGUAAUCUGCCCUCGAGUUUGGGAUAACCCCGCGAAAGCGGGGCUAAUACCGAAUAAGACCACGGGGACCAAAGUCCCUGAGGUAAAAGGUGGCCUCUAUUUAUAAGCUACCACUUGAGGAUGAGCCCGCGGCCCAUUAGCUAGUUGGUAGGGUAACGGCCUACCAAGGCUAUGAUGGGUAGCUGGUCUGAGAGGACGAUCAGCCACACUGGAACUGAGACACGGUCCAGACUCCUACGGGAGGCAGCAGUGGGGAAUAUUGCGCAAUGGGCGAAAGCCUGACGCAGCAACGCCGCGUGGGGGAUGAAGGUUCUCGGAUUGUAAACCCCUUUCGAUCGGAACGAAUUCCCUCCUGGUAAAUAAUCAGGAGGAUCGACGGUACCGGGAGAAGAAGCCACGGCUAACUCUGUGCCAGCAGCCGCGGUAAGACAGAGGUGGCGAGCGUUGUUCGGAUUUAUUGGGCGUAAAGCGAACGCAGGCGGUUUGGUAAGUCAGAGGUGAAAGACCACAGCUUAACUGUGGCACUGCCUUUGAUACUGCCUUUCUUGAGUAGAGUAGGGGGAAGCGGAAUUCCGAGUGUAGAGGUGAAAUUCGUAGAUAUUCGGAGGAACACCGGUGGCGAAGGCGGCUUCCUGGACUCUAACUGACGCUCAUGUUCGAAAGCGUGGGUAGCAAACAGGAUUAGAUACCCUGGUAGUCCACGCCCUAAACGAUGGGCACUAGGUGUGGGAGGUAUCGACCCCUUCCGUGCCGCAGCUAACGCAUUAAGUGCCCCGCCUGGGGAGUACGGCCGCAAGGUUGAAACUCAAAGGAAUUGACGGGGGCCCGCACAAGCGGUGGUGCAUGUGGUUUAAUUCGACGCAACGCGAAGAACCUUACCUAGGCUUGACAUCCCUGGAAUCCCCUUGAAAGAAGGGGAGUGCUCGCAAGAGA
This 955-nucleotide ribosomal RNA is filed under the name uncultured bacterium. RNAcentral describes it as "bacterial SSU rRNA". It matches the Rfam family "Bacterial small subunit ribosomal RNA", at positions 98 to 1027 of the family's 1533-position model. The record is from RNAcentral.